Long non-coding RNA from Neopsephotus bourkii (Bourke's parrot), 918 nucleotides. RefSeq lists it as uncharacterized. The record is from RefSeq and is a predicted model, not a curated record. Lineage: Eukaryota; Metazoa; Chordata; Aves; Psittaciformes; Psittacidae. The transcript has 2 exons.
UCGGUUGCUUCGAGUCACGGGGUGUACCAUCUUCUCGGCAGCAAGGGAAUUCUUCAGGAGAACAGCUGUUUCGGGAUUUCUGCCUGUUUAUACAGGCUUCCCACUUUGCAGCUUUAACUAAUGGGGCAAAGCAAGACACGGGUUAUCUUGGUGUCACCUGGAGUACUGAUUACUUUCCAGUGGGGUCUCGUCACUGGGCCUUUAAGGCGACUAGCAUGAGUCCAUCCACGCUCAGCAGUUCGGACAGCUGUUUCUGUUGUAAGCAAAACAAGAUAAGGUCCCUCCCAAUUGGGUUUUAGGGUUUCUUCCUUCCACACUUUGAUCAAUAUCCAAUCCCCAGGUUUAACAUUGUGAAUUUUUAAGUCCAACGGGGGUCGUUGCACAAUCAGUCCAUGUUCCCAAAGCUUGUUACGAUGUUCUGCUAAUUGUGAAACAUAUUCAUUAAUUACACGGUCUCGAAUUAAAACAUUUGUUUGUGGACUUUCAAUUCUAUAAGACAUUCCAUACACCAUUUCAAACGCUGAUAUUCCUAUGUCUGCUCAGGGUCUGGUUCUGAGAAUUAAUAGUGCCAUGGGUAGGCACUUAAUCCAUGAUAAUUUGGUUUCUAUUAUUAAUUUAGUCAAAAUAGCUUUGAUUUCUCCAUUUAUCCUUUCAACUUUUCCCGAACUUUGUGGAUGCCAUGGUGUAUGGUAUUCCCACUUAAUACCCAAGCUUUCUGUUAGAUCUCUAACAAUUUUUGACACAAAGUGUGUUCCUCUGUCCGAGUCGAUUACUUCAGGUACUCCAUAUCGAGGUAUAAUGUGUUCAAGUAACACUUUAGUAACUUGGUUAGCAGUUGCCCUGGAGGUAGGAAAAGCCUCAACAUAAUGUGUUAAAUGAUCCACCAUUACUAAUAAAUAUUUGUAACGCCCUACCCUA